CCGACCUUAGCUCAGUUGGUAGAGCGGAGGACUGUAGUUGGAUGCAGAGAAAUCCUUAGGUCGCUGGUUCGAAUCCGGCAGGUCGGA
This 87-nucleotide transfer RNA is filed under the name Oryza brachyantha (malo sina). It matches the Rfam family "tRNA". Rfam says of the family: Transfer RNA (tRNA) molecules are approximately 80 nucleotides in length. Their secondary structure includes four short double-helical elements and three loops (D, anti-codon, and T loops). The record is from Rfam by way of RNAcentral. Lineage: Eukaryota; Viridiplantae; Streptophyta; Magnoliopsida; Poales; Poaceae.